AUCUAUAUAGUUUAAGUAAAACAUUACACUUUCACUGUAAAGAUAUUAUUAAUAAUUAUAGAUU
RNAcentral lists this transfer RNA (64 nucleotides) under Macropanesthia monteithi. Its description in RNAcentral is "tRNA-Glu". It matches the Rfam family "tRNA". From Rfam's summary of the family: Transfer RNA (tRNA) molecules are approximately 80 nucleotides in length. Their secondary structure includes four short double-helical elements and three loops (D, anti-codon, and T loops). Further hydrogen bonds mediate the characteristic L-shaped molecular structure. tRNAs have two regions of fundamental functional importance: the anti-codon, which is responsible for specific mRNA codon recognition, and the 3' end, to which the tRNAs corresponding amino acid is attached (by aminoacyl-tRNA synthetases). tRNAs cope with the degeneracy of the genetic code in two manners: having more than one tRNA (with a specific anti-codon) for a particular amino acid; and 'wobble' base-pairing, i.e. permitting non-standard base-pairing at the 3rd anti-codon position. The record is from RNAcentral. Lineage: Eukaryota; Metazoa; Arthropoda; Insecta; Blattodea; Blaberidae.